UUCACGGAGAGUUUGAUCCUGGCUCAGGACGAACGCUGGCGGCGUGCUUAACACAUGCAAGUCGAACGGUGAAGCCCUUCGGGGUGGAUCAGUGGCGAACGGGUGAGUAACACGUGGGCAA
This 121-nucleotide ribosomal RNA is filed under the name Kitasatospora sp. RG8. Its description in RNAcentral is "partial 16S ribosomal RNA". It matches the Rfam family "Bacterial small subunit ribosomal RNA", at positions 1 to 124 of the family's 1533-position model. The record is from RNAcentral. Lineage: Bacteria; Bacillati; Actinomycetota; Actinomycetes; Kitasatosporales; Streptomycetaceae.